This 1187-nucleotide long non-coding RNA is filed under the name Mus spicilegus (steppe mouse). RNAcentral describes it as "lncRNA (ENSMSIG00000000183.1)". Lineage: Eukaryota; Metazoa; Chordata; Mammalia; Rodentia; Muridae. The record is from RNAcentral.
AUCCUCAGAAUGAGCUGGCAGGAGGAAAAAGCAUCCAUGAGAACAGUGAUUCAAGGGUGCCAUGAGGUAGCAAGGAAAGCUGGAGAUACUGAAAGGGUGGAAUUAGAAGCAGACCACAUAGAGCUAGAAAGGAUGAGAUGAUAGAGAUCCGGAAAUGUCUGACUUUGCACAGCAUGACACAGAAAUGAACGAACACACACUUACUAUGGGUCUUCUAAGUCAGAUAAACCUUAUGAAAGAAUCAUAUAUUUUUUAAUAUGAACCAAUCAGUCUAAGAUUUGGGGACUAUAUCUGCAUCUAGGGUUAAGACACAUUGACACAUUGUCGCUAAAGAUAAAGAUAUGUCACUUCUUCCAGCUGUUUUUUUUUUCCUUUUUUCAGGGUAAUGUGGUGGUGUGUGGGGUCUCCAGCUACUGAAUGUAUCUGUAAACAUCAGAGGGAAAGCUUCUUGGAGACUAGCCCUUAAGUAGUGGAAUUACACAGUGUAACUUUGCUCUUUCUUUAUAAGAUUUGCCUACGUUAUUUAAGUAAUUAUGACUGAUAAAUGGACCAUCCCAUUCAUUUUUACUAAGAGAAUAAUAUACUUUAUCCUGGAUCAGGGAUGUUCUACACAUAGCCUUCCUCUCAUGAGUGCCUUCAUUUACCUGUUUUGACCCAUUGGUUCUGAAGAACCAGUAUUGGCAGCUCCAUGCAUGAAGAAUGUUCCAAUUUUGUUGCUGCCAAAAAAUGUAUAGGAAAUCAUGUUAGGGAAUGAGAUGACUUCCUGUAUGUGUUGAAUGAGAAGAAACCUUGGAUCUUUUUAAAGAAGACAAUGUACAUGUGCUUACCAAAAGGAAGCAGGUUCCCAGAGAAAACCCAUUCAAACAUAUGCACCUGUGGAGAUCAUAAGCAGCAUCAAGAAGACCGUUAUUUUUAACAAGCAUCAAAAAAUAUGUCUAUAAUUUCUCUGAUCACAGGAAGGACAAAGUACUGCUCACUUAUCAUGGAUACAACAAAGACAGGAAGGGAAUGUCCUUGCCAUAAUCAUGGAUUCCCAAAGGAAGCUUUACAAGGAAGACAAUACUUCAAAAUGUCUUGACUACUGAGGAAAUGGCCAACCAAUAACUGCCCCAACUUGAGACUCAUCUUAUGGGCAAGCACCAAUUCCUGACACUAUUGAUGAUACUCUGGUAUGCUUGUACGCAGGA